RNAcentral lists this ribosomal RNA (465 nucleotides) under uncultured Klebsiella sp. RNAcentral describes it as "bacterial SSU rRNA". It matches the Rfam family "Bacterial small subunit ribosomal RNA", at positions 338 to 795 of the family's 1533-position model. The record is from RNAcentral. Lineage: Bacteria; Pseudomonadati; Pseudomonadota; Gammaproteobacteria; Enterobacterales; Enterobacteriaceae.
CCUACGGGUGGCAGCAGUGGGGAAUAUUGCACAAUGGGCGCAAGCCUGAUGCAGCCAUGCCGCGUGUGUGAAGAAGGCCUUCGGGUUGUAAAGCACUUUCAGCGGGGAGGAAGGCGUUAAGGUUAAUAACCUUGGCGAUUGACGUUACCCGCAGAAGAAGCACCGGCUAACUCCGUGCCAGCAGCCGCGGUAAUACGGAGGGUGCAAGCGUUAAUCGGAAUUACUGGGCGUAAAGCGCACGCAGGCGGUCUGUCAAGUCGGAUGUGAAAUCCCCGGGCUCAACCUGGGGACUGCAUUCGAAACUGGCAGGCUAGAGUCUUGUAGAGGGGGGUAGAAUUCCAGGUGUAGCGGUGAAAUGCGUAGAGAUCUGGAGGAAUACCGGUGGCGAAGGCGGCCCCCUGGACAAAGGCUGACGCUCAGGUGCGAAAGCGUGGGGAGCAAACAGGAUUAGAUACCCUAGUAGUC